UUGGAGGGCAAGUCUGGUGCCAGCAGCCGCGGUAAUUCCAGCUCCAAUAGCGUAUAUUAAAGUUGCUGCAGUUAAAAAGCUCGUAGUUGAAUUUCGGAACCAAUAUGUUGGUUGUGCCUCGGUACGUACUGGCAUUGUUGGUUUCUCCCUUCUGACGAACUAUGAUGUCAUUAAUUUGGUGUCAUGGGGAAUCAGGACUGUUACUUUGAAAAAAUUAGAGUGUUUAAAGCAGGCUCACGCUUGAAUACAUUAGCAUGGAAUAAUGAAAUAGGACGUUUGAUUCUAUUUUGUUGGUUUCUAGGAUUGACGUAAUGAUUAAUAGGGAUAGUUGGGGGCAUUAGUAUUCAAUUGUCAGAGGUGAAAUUCUUGGAUUUAUUGAAGACUAACUACUGCGAAAGCAUUUGCCAAGGAUGUUUUCAUUAAUCAGGAACGAAAGUUAGGGGAUCGAAGACGAUCAGAUACCGUCGUAGUCUUAACCAUAAACUAUGCCGACUAGGGAUCGGACGAUGUUAUUUUUUGACUCGUUCGGCACCUUACGGGAAAC
This 544-nucleotide ribosomal RNA is filed under the name uncultured Glomus. RNAcentral's name for it is "SSU rRNA". It matches the Rfam family "Eukaryotic small subunit ribosomal RNA", at positions 548 to 1098 of the family's 1831-position model. Lineage: Eukaryota; Fungi; Glomeromycota; Glomeromycetes; Glomerales; Glomeraceae. The record is from RNAcentral.